UUAAACCUUGAUCCUUUGUUAUAUUAAUUA
Molecule: non-coding RNA, 30 nt
Filed under: Mus musculus (house mouse)
Lineage: Eukaryota; Metazoa; Chordata; Mammalia; Rodentia; Muridae
Source: RNAcentral